AUUAGCGAUAAUUUUCCGUUUCAGUCACCCCCCUUCACUGACCCUUUAACCCUUCUCUCUCUGCCAACCGCACCACAACACCUCCAAUUUGUACAUUCAGCAGUUUAAUUCACUCUUGCAACUCAUACCCCAACCACUGUAUAGGACUAGUCAGGCCCUCACAUCCCAUAUCCCAUGUAGGAACCUAGCCACCACAAUAACAUCCACAAAUCGCACUUACCUACAAUCCCCAAAUGGGAGCAAAAAACAAAAACGAAAAUACCAAGAAGACAUGGAAAGACACCCCCACAAUACAGCAUAAACAUAGACUGUACACCCCAGUUUCUGUUCAUAUUAUUCUGUUAUGCUGCAUUAUAUUAUGUUUUGUUUCUUAAUAAGUCAAGACAUGGAUUGACACAUGUAACCACUAAU
Molecule: long non-coding RNA, 411 nt
Filed under: Pelobates cultripes (western spadefoot toad)
Lineage: Eukaryota; Metazoa; Chordata; Amphibia; Anura; Pelobatidae
Source: RNAcentral